Molecule: ribosomal RNA, 776 nt
Filed under: uncultured Neocallimastigales
Lineage: Eukaryota; Fungi; Neocallimastigomycota; Neocallimastigomycetes; Neocallimastigales
Description: partial large subunit ribosomal RNA
Rfam family: Eukaryotic large subunit ribosomal RNA
Source: RNAcentral
CGCAUCUGUGCAUGCAGUAUAUCAAUAAGCGGAGGAAAAGAAACUAACAAGGAUUCCCUUAGUAACGGCGAGUGAAGCGGGAAGAGCUCAAAUUUGAAAUCUUCAAGGUUUUACCUUGACGAAUUGUAGUUUAAAGAAGGUGUUUUCUGUUGAAGUUUUGGUAAAAGUUCUUUGGAAUAGGACAUCAUAGAGGGUGAGAAUCCCGUAUUUGACCAUUAUUUUCAGCUGUGUGAUACACUUUCAAAGAGUCGGAUUGUUUGGGAAUGCAGUCCAAAAUGGGUGGUAAAUUUCAUCUAAAGCUAAAUAUUGGCGAGAGACCGAUAGCGAACAAGUACCGUGAGGGAAAGAUGAAAAGAACUUUGAAAAGAGAGUUAAACAGUACGUGAAAUUGUCAAAAGGGAAGCGUUUGACACCAGUGUUGUUUUCUCGAAAAUCAAUUAAAAAGAGUUUAGAUUUUGUUGUGUAUUGACCUUAACAGCUUGCAUUUCAAUUUUCUUGCUUUUUUUAAUGCACUUUUCGUUUAACAAGUCAACAUCAGUUUCUUUUGUUGUAAAAAGGUCAUUGGAAGGUGGCUUUCUUUUCGGAGAAAGUGUUUAUAGCCUUUGACUCCUGCAAUCGGAGAGACUGAGGUCUGCAGCGUAGAUCCUUCGGGGUUAGAUACAUUUGUGCUAAGUUAUAGCUUUUUAUAGACAACUUGUUGACUAUGAUUAGUCUUGUAGCUUACUCGCUUAUGCUAUUUUACCUACGCUUAGGAUGUUGACGCGCGUGUGUGCGUG